This 70-nucleotide transfer RNA is filed under the name Bos taurus (domestic cattle). It matches the Rfam family "tRNA". From Rfam's summary of the family: Transfer RNA (tRNA) molecules are approximately 80 nucleotides in length. Their secondary structure includes four short double-helical elements and three loops (D, anti-codon, and T loops). Further hydrogen bonds mediate the characteristic L-shaped molecular structure. tRNAs have two regions of fundamental functional importance: the anti-codon, which is responsible for specific mRNA codon recognition, and the 3' end, to which the tRNAs corresponding amino acid is attached (by aminoacyl-tRNA synthetases). tRNAs cope with the degeneracy of the genetic code in two manners: having more than one tRNA (with a specific anti-codon) for a particular amino acid; and 'wobble' base-pairing, i.e. permitting non-standard base-pairing at the 3rd anti-codon position. RNAcentral also lists the same sequence under 3 other names. The record is from Rfam by way of RNAcentral. Lineage: Eukaryota; Metazoa; Chordata; Mammalia; Artiodactyla; Bovidae.
UCAGUUUUGGCUCAGACCGUAAAGCGUCUGCCUGCAAUGCAGGAGACCCAGGUUUGUUUCCUGGGUUGAA